RNAcentral lists this ribosomal RNA (429 nucleotides) under Bacteroidota bacterium. RNAcentral's name for it is "Bacteroidetes bacterium partial 16S ribosomal RNA". It matches the Rfam family "Bacterial small subunit ribosomal RNA", at positions 355 to 776 of the family's 1533-position model. The record is from RNAcentral. Lineage: Bacteria; Pseudomonadati; Bacteroidota.
UAGGGAAUCUUCGGCAAUGGGGGGAACCCUGACCGAGCAACGCCGCGUGAGUGAAGAAGGUUUUCGGAUCGUAAAGCUCUGUUGUUAAGGAAGAACGAGUGUGAGAAUGGAAAGUUCAUGCUGUGACGGUACUUAACCAGAAAGGGACGGCUAACUACGUGCCAGCAGCCGCGGUAAUACGUAGGUCCCGAGCGUUGUCCGGAUUUAUUGGGCGUAAAGCGAGCGCAGGCGGUUAGAAAAGUCUGAAGUGAAAGGCAGUGGCUCAACCAUUGUAGGCUUUGGAAACUGUUUAACUUGAGUGCAGAAGGAGAGAGUGGAAUUCCAUGUGUAACGGUGAAAUGCGUAGAUAUAUGGAGGAACACCGGUGGCGAAAGCGGCUCUCUGGUCUGUAACUGACGCUGAGGCUCGAACGCGUGGGGAGCGAACAGG